AUGUUUGUCGUGUGCCCGAGGAUGGGGCUGCGGCCGAUCAGGCAGUUGGCGAGGUAACGGCUCACCAAACCUUUAACCGGUACGGGCCAUGAAAGUGGUAGCCCGGAGAUGGGCACUGAGACAGGGGCCCAGGCCCUACGGGGCGCAGCAGGCGCGAAAACUCCACAAUGUACGGAAGUACGAUGGGGUUAUCUCGAGUGCAGUCCGAUAAGGGUUGCUUUUCCAUAGAGUAAUAUCCUGUGGGAAUAAGAGGGGGGCAAGACUGGUGUCAGCCGCCGCGGUAACACCAGCCCCUCGAGUGGUGGGGACUAUUAUUUGGCCUAAAGCGUCCGUAGCUGGCUGUAUCCGUCCCCCGUUAAAUCCAGCGUCCUAAGCGUUGGACCGCGGGUGAUACCAUACAGCUAGAGGGUGGGAUAGGUGGGCGGUAUUUCUGGGGUAGGGGCGAAAUCCUUUGAUCCCAGGAGGACCACCAGUGGCGAAGGCUGCCCACUAGAACACGCCUGACGGUCAGGGACGAAAGCUGGGGCAGCGAACCGGAUUAGAUACCCGGGUAGUCCCAGCUGUAAACGAUGCUAGCUAGGUGUUGGGUCGGCCACGCGCCGCCCCAGUGCCGCAGGGAAGCCGUUAAGCUAGCCGCCUGGGGAGUACGGCCGCAAGGCUGAAACUUAAAGGA
RNAcentral lists this ribosomal RNA (673 nucleotides) under uncultured archaeon. RNAcentral describes it as "bacterial SSU rRNA". It matches the Rfam family "Archaeal small subunit ribosomal RNA", at positions 187 to 863 of the family's 1478-position model. The record is from RNAcentral.